CAGUAGCCGCGGGAAUACGUAGGGUGCAAGCGUUAAUCGGAAUUACUGGGCGUAAAGCGCGCGCAGGCGGUUUGCUAAGACAGAUGUGAAAUCCCCGGGCUCAACCUGGGAACUGCAUUUGUGACUGGCAAGCUAGAGUGUGGCAGAGGGGGGUGGAAUUCCGCGUGUAGCAGUGAAAUGCGUAGAUAUGCGGAGGAACACCGAUGGCGAAGGCAGCCCCCUGGGCCAACACUGACGCUCAUGCACGAAAGCGUGGGGAGCAAACAGGAUUAGAUACCCCAGUAGUCCCUGUCUCUUAUAC
Molecule: ribosomal RNA, 301 nt
Filed under: uncultured bacterium
Lineage: Bacteria
Description: partial 16S ribosomal RNA
Rfam family: Bacterial small subunit ribosomal RNA
Source: RNAcentral